This 1456-nucleotide long non-coding RNA is filed under the name Vigna radiata. RNAcentral's name for it is "long non-coding RNA (VRAD_LNC014232)". Lineage: Eukaryota; Viridiplantae; Streptophyta; Magnoliopsida; Fabales; Fabaceae. The record is from RNAcentral.
UUAAUUGUCCGAUAUUUUCCCAUUUUUGUGAAUUGUGCUUAAUUUGACCAGAAAUUCUUAUUUUAGUUAAUUUGAAUCAUCUGAGACUAAUUAUUUAUAUUAUUAAUUGUAGGAAAAUUUUUAACGUUGGCGUUCUUCCUUCCUUCAUGACACCAACAAUCUUCUUGUCACCAACUCUAAGGAUCCUCAAUCUCAAGAGCUCUGCUUGCUUUAAUAGUCUUGAUAACCCAUAACCUAAUUUUGAAUUUCAUUUAUGUGCCCGGUUAAGGUUCAUCACUUUUCACAUCAGGGUGUUGGUGAACCAAUUCUCCUUCAUUAUCUGCCUCCUGAUGGUCUUGUGCUCCUAGUACCAAAAAUUUUAUCCUGCAUACACUAAAGAACACUGCACUAGAGCACAGAAUUAGCCCAAAAAUAAAAAUAAAAAUAGUUAAAGAUAAUUUUUAAUUUAUUUUAAUUUUAAAUUUCGUUUUUUUUAAAAGAUAAAAGAAAAAAAAAUAAACAAUAAAAAAAUGAAAUAAAAAGAUCAAAAGAAAAAUAAAUAGAAAGAUAGAAAGGUAGAAAGAUGGAAAGAUAAGCAGAAGGAUGAGGGAAAGAAUGUGAAGAAGAAAAAGGAGAAAAAUAUGGAAAGAUAUUAUUUUAUUUUAUUUUCGUUUUUUUGUUUAAAAUUAAAAAUAAAAAAAAAUAAAAAAAAUAAAAAAAAAUAAAACAAAAUAAAAUAAAAUAAAAUCAAAUCAAAUCAAAUCAAAUCCAAUCAAAUAAAAUAAAAUCAAAUCAAAUCCAAUCAAAUAAAAUAAAAUCAAAUCAAAUCAAAUGAAAUCAAAUAAAACAAAAUAAGAUAAAAUCAAAUCAAAUCAAAUAAGACAAAUAAAAUAAAAAAAAGGUCUAAUCGAUCAAGAAUCGCACACAUAGAAUAGUUCUACCAUGAGUCCCCGACAACGGCGCCAAAAACUUGUUGGCGAAUUGGCAAGCGUACCAAAUCGUACAAGUAAUAUAAAUGGUAAGUCCAAGUAUCGUUUUCCCAAGAGACUCACGACACUAAACUGUUGUGCUUUUACUUAACCAAUCAAGACUAUAAAAAUAAUAUUUUGGGAUUUUUAUAAAGUGCAGAAAAAUAAACAUGAAUGCAAUUUGAUCAAUUGAGGUUAAACACAAAAGUGGAUGAAUGAAUGGAGUUGUUGGGGAUUUACAAUUUCAUCUAAUCCGCUCUCUCUUACAUACUACCCUUGAAUAUUAGUUUGAUUAAUUCAAUUGUUAUGCGACUUUCUUAGCCUCCCCUUAACCCGAUCCCUCGGCGAAAAGGGCCUAAUAUUAACUACUGGCUUGCUAUCCCUAGCCUUCCCUAGUAAUUAAUACCGCAUUAUAAACAAAAGUUAGCGCAAUUGAUCGUCCUACCCCUAUCCUUAGGUGGUAUUGCAAAAUCAAAAGAUUACUCACCAGUUCAUGUCAUUACUGUANN